CCUACGGGGGGCAGCAGUGGGGAAUAUUGCACAAUGGGGGGAACCCUGAUGCAGCGACGCCGCGUGAAGGAAGAAGUAUCUCGGUAUGUAAACUUCUAUCAGCAGGGAAGAAAGAGGACGGUACCUGACUAAGAAGCCCCGGCUAACUACGUGCCAGCAGCCGCGGUAAUACGUAGGGGGCGAGCGUUAUCCGGAUUUACUGGGUGUAAAGGGAGCGUAGACGGCCAUGCAAGCUCGGUGUGAAAGGUGCGGGCACAACCCGCAGACUGCACUGAGAACUGUAUGGCUGGAGUGCCGGAGGGGCG
Molecule: ribosomal RNA, 305 nt
Filed under: uncultured bacterium
Lineage: Bacteria
Description: bacterial SSU rRNA
Rfam family: Bacterial small subunit ribosomal RNA
Source: RNAcentral